CCUACGGGAGGCAGCAGUGAGGAAUAUUGGACAAUGGGCGCAAGCCUGAUCCAGCCAUGCCGCGUGCAGGAAGAAGCAUCUAUGGUGUGUAAACUGCUUUUGUACAGGAAGAAACACUCCCUCGUGAGGGAGCUUGACGGUACUGUAAGAAUAAGGACCGGCUAACUCCGUGCCAGCAGCCGCGGUAAUACGGAGGGUCCGAGCGUUAUCCGGAAUCAUUGGGUUUAAAGGGUCCGUAGGCGGUUUAAUAAGUCAGUGGUGAAAUCUGGUCGCUCAACGAUCAAACGGCCAUUGAUACUGUUAGACUUGAAUUAUAAGGAAGUAACUAGAAUAUGUAGUGUAGCGGUGAAAUGCUUAGAUAUUACAUGGAAUACCAAUUGCGAAGGCAGGUUACUACUUAUGGAUUGACGCUGAUGGACGAAAGCGUGGGGAGCGAACAGGAUUAGAUACCCUGGUAGUCCACGCCGUAAACGAUGGAUACUAGCUGUUCGGAGCAAUCUGAGUGGCUAAGCGAAAGUGAUAAGUAUCCCACCUGGGGAGUACGUUCGCAAGAAUGAAACUCAAAGGAAUUGACGGCUGAGACGAGACGACGACGACGACGAGGGAGGAGG
Molecule: ribosomal RNA, 611 nt
Filed under: uncultured bacterium
Lineage: Bacteria
Description: bacterial SSU rRNA
Rfam family: Bacterial small subunit ribosomal RNA
Source: RNAcentral